UUUCAACUGAUAAUUUUGCUUGCAACAAAUUUAUAUUUUUGGUUGUUUUUACCUAACAUGCGUUUUCAAAACAAAUUUUGAAUAUGUUUAUUUUAAAACAAAAGUUUGGUUUUCUUCCAACAAGAUCUUAGUUCAUGUUUACCAAAAUAUAGCUUGUUUGAAAUUAUAGUAAACGUCAUACUACAAUCUGAAGAAUAAGGUUGAUCUUACCAGUGACAUUAUGUUGAAUCUACCUAAAUUCUUAACCUACAUGAAAUCACUUCCUGCUGAAUGCAGACAUUUUGAAAUUUGCGAUACACGAAAGCAUCUCAGUGCAUCAAAAGCCGCCCAUUCCUGUUUCUUCGUUUAUGGCUGGAGAAUAGUUACUCGUACACAUCAACAGGCAUUCAUUAGCCCCUAAAAGACCAUGCAAAAGAUACCGGUGUGCGUCGGCUGCGCAAUUUUAUCAGCAACACGAACACGGAACAGCCAGGCAGCCAACAACAUGAAUGUGGCCAUUAUGCGCAAGCCGUGAGGCAGAAAUGUUUAUACAGAAUAAUAUUUAUAAGUGAGAUCGAAU
Armigeres subalbatus is the source of this 559-nucleotide long non-coding RNA. RefSeq lists it as uncharacterized. The transcript has 3 exons. The record is from RefSeq and is a predicted model, not a curated record. NCBI's taxonomy places the organism in Eukaryota, Metazoa, Arthropoda, Insecta, Diptera, Culicidae.